RNAcentral lists this ribosomal RNA (510 nucleotides) under uncultured Glomus. Its description in RNAcentral is "SSU rRNA". It matches the Rfam family "Eukaryotic small subunit ribosomal RNA", at positions 569 to 1080 of the family's 1831-position model. The record is from RNAcentral. Lineage: Eukaryota; Fungi; Glomeromycota; Glomeromycetes; Glomerales; Glomeraceae.
AGCAGCCGCGGUAAUUCCAGCUCCAAUAGCGUAUAUUAAAGUUGUUGCAGUUAAAAAGCUCGUAGUUGAAUUUCGGGGUUAGUAGGUUGGUCGUGCCACUGGUACGUACUGGUCUCACUGAUUCCUCCUUCCUGAUGAACUGUAAUGCCAUUAAUUUGGUGUUGCAGGGAAACUGGACUGUUACUUUGAAAAAAUUAGAGUGUUUAAAGCAAGCUAACGCUUGAAUACAUUAGCAUGGAAUAAUGAAAUAGGACGUUCGAUCCUAUUUUGUUGGUUUCUAGGAUUGACGUAAUGAUUAAUAGGGAUAGUUGGAGGCAUUAGUAUUCAAUUGUCAGAGGUGAAAUUCUUGGAUUUAUUGAAGACUAACUACUGCGAAAGCAUUUGCCAAGGAUGUUUUCAUUAAUCAAGAACGAAAGUUAGGGGAUCGAAGACGAUCAGAUACCGUCGUAGUCUUAACCAUAAACUAUGCCGACUAGGGAUCGGAUGAUGUUAAUUUUUUAAUGACUCAUU